AUCGCAGACAUCGGGUACAAGACGGUGACAUCGCUGCUGGGCGUCGCGACCAUCUACCUCGGGAUUAAUUUCUCCAUGAAUUUGUAUUCCGCGAUCCAGUGGCACAUCGAGCACAGAAACGAUCCAAAGGAGGAAAUCCAAGUCCCGCAACAGCCCCAGCAAGGAUGAUCGCGCUCCAGCAAAAUAACAGCGUCUCAACUCCUUGAAGAGCUCACGAACUUGGUCUCUAGAAUCACGAGAUGAAAGAAAUGUAAGUAGGCUUCCAUUUUCAAUACACUCGAGCUUCAUUACCUGGCA
Selaginella moellendorffii is the source of this 297-nucleotide long non-coding RNA. RefSeq lists it as uncharacterized. The transcript is spliced from 2 exons. The record is from RefSeq and is a predicted model, not a curated record. NCBI's taxonomy places the organism in Eukaryota, Viridiplantae, Streptophyta, Lycopodiopsida, Selaginellales, Selaginellaceae.